GAGUUUGAUCGUGGCUCAGAUUGAACGCUGGCGGCAGGCCUAACACAUGCAAGUCGAGCGGUAGGGAGAAGCUUGCCUCUCUUGAGAGCGGCGGACGGGUGAGUAAUGCCUAGGAAUCUGCCUGGUAGUGGGGGAUAACGCUCGGAAACGGACGCUAAUACCGCAUACGUCCUACGGGAGAAAGCAGGGGACCUUCGGGCCUUGCGCUAUCAGAUGAGCCUAGGUCGGAUUAGCUAGUUGGUGAGGUAAUGGCUCACCAAGGCGACGAUCCGUAACUGGUCUGAGAGGAUGAUCAGUCACACUGGAACUGAGACACGGUCCAGACUCCUACGGGAGGCAGCAGUGGGGAAUAUUGGACAAUGGGCGAAAGCCUGAUCCAGCCAUGCCGCGUGUGUGAAGAAGGUCUUCGGAUUGUAAAGCACUUUAAGUUGGGAGGAAGGGCAGUAAAUUAAUACUUUGCUGUUUUGACGUUACCGACAGAAUAAGCACCGGCUAACUCUGUGCCAGCCGCCGACCG
This 517-nucleotide ribosomal RNA is filed under the name uncultured bacterium. RNAcentral's name for it is "bacterial SSU rRNA". It matches the Rfam family "Bacterial small subunit ribosomal RNA", at positions 9 to 520 of the family's 1533-position model. The record is from RNAcentral.